Molecule: RNA transcript, 8957 nt
Organism: Panicum virgatum (switchgrass)
Lineage: Eukaryota; Viridiplantae; Streptophyta; Magnoliopsida; Poales; Poaceae
Gene name: disease resistance protein RPM1-like
Exons: 4
Source: RefSeq, a predicted model, not a curated record
AAAAAGAGAUCAUCGUUUCUCAUGAGAUAAAUUGUUGAUCAACCACUCCAAAGGUGAGCCCAGAUUAACCAGGUUGCAUCUGCUGUGCCUUUUGCCUGUCCAUGGAGAGUAGAGAGCAACUCCUGCUUCCUCUCCUCAUCAGCUUCGUCUUCCUGCUGCUGUUCACCACCAACACUAGCAGCUCCAGCCUGAACAGUGACCUCCACGCGCUUCUGUCGCUCAAAUCCUUCAUAAGCAAGGACCCCAUGGGUGCACUGUCUUCCUGGAACGCUCUCGACAACAACACCCUCAACGGCACCAAUGGUUUCUGCAGAUGGACCGGGGUGACAUGCAGCAGCAGCAGCAGUCGCCUAAGGCCACAACGCGUGACUGUGCUGCGCCUACCAGGGUUUGGCCUCAUCGGCACCUUGUCGCCGCACAUAGGUAACCUCACCCAUCUUAGCGUGCUUGAUCUCUCGUACAACAAGCUUGAAGGUGUGAUCCCUCCUAGCCUUGGCACCUGCUCUCUGCUUCAAGAGCUCAACUUGAGCAACAAUUCCAUGUCUGGCACCAUUCCUACCACCAUGGGUCACUUGUCAAAGCUUGUUGUUUUCAACAUAGGCAGCAACAAUAUAUCGGGUCUCAUCCCUUCUUCGUUUGCAAACCUCACUGCACUCACAGUGUUUAGUAUUUUUCAGAACUCUUUUCAUGGGAACAUCCCACCAUGGUUGGGGAAUUUGACUAGGCUAAUAAAAUUGGACAUUCAAAAGAACAUGAUGAGUGGACAUGUCCCGCCAACUUUGUCAAAACUAUCUAACCUUCAAGCUUUCGGGAUAGCGGCAAACAUGCUAGAAGGCACCAUUCCUUCAUCCUUGUUUAACAUAUCUUCCCUUGAGAUAGUUAAUGUCGGUGAUAACACAUUGUCAGGGUCUCUGCCUCCAGACAUGGGCUUUAUGCUUCCCAAUCUAAGAAUAUUUUAUGCAUUCGACAAUGAAUUUGAAGGCCCAAUUCCAUUUUCCUUGUCUAAUAUCUCUCUUCUUCAAAAACUCUCCCUUAGUGAAAAUAGAUUUCGAGGCAUAAUUCCGCCAAACAUUGGUAUAAAUGGUAAUUUGGAACUGUUUGAUGUAAGCAACAAUGAGCUCCAAGCUACGGAGCCAACAGAUUGGGAUUUCCUAACUCCCUUGGCUAAUUGCAGCAAGUUAAGAGCCAUCGUCAUUGAAAGAAACAACCUUUCUGGCACUCUACCAAAUACAAUCGCUAAUCUCUCGCUAGAACUAGAGAUCAUGGCAUUGGGGAGAAACCAAAUUACUGGCCGCAUACCAACAGAAAUUGGACGAUACUACAGACUCACUAUCCUUGCGCUUGCAUAUAACCUCUUCACAGGAACCAUACCUUCAGAUAUAGGAAAGCUAUCCAACCUCAAUAAACUACUCCUAUGGCAAAAUUCCUUCCACGGGGAGAUCCCACUAUCGCUAGGUAACAUCACACGACUAUAUUUGUUGAGCCUAUCUUCCAACUAUCUACAGGGUAGAAUUCCAGCAACUCUUGGCAACCUUAGCAUGUUAGCCGCCAUUGAUAUCUCAAAUAAUCUCCUAACUGGACAAAUCCCACAAGAGGUUGUCAGCAUUUCUUCUCUAACCCAAAUUUGUAACCUUUCCAAUAAUGCAUUAAAUGGUCCCAUUCCUAUGCAAAUUGGGCGCUUGGUCAACCUUAUCAGUAUCGAUAUCUCAUCAAAUAAAUUAUCAGGUGAAAUUCCAAGAACCCUUGGAAGAUGCCUUCAAUUGCAGUUCCUUCACUUUCAAGAUAACCUCAUCCAAGGAAACAUCCCAGAAGACCUAAGUGAGCUAAAAGGCCUAGAAGAGAUGGACCUCUCCAACAACAAAUUAUCAGGAGUCAUCCCUGAAUUCCUUGGGAACUUCAAGCUUCUAAGGAGCCUGAACCUUUCCUUCAACCAACUAUCCGGUCCAGUGCCAAACAAGGGUAUUUUCUCCAAUGCAAGUGUUGUAUUACUUGUAAGUAAUGGAGCAUUAUGUGGUGGCCCUCCAUUCUUUUAUUUUCCACCAUGUCCGUAUCCAAAUCCUGGUAGCCAUGCACGAAACCUACGGCUGCACAGCUUGAUCUUUAUUGUGGUGGGAGCAUUUGCCUUUGUUAUCAUUUGUAUUGUUAUAUGCUACUAUGUCAAGAAGCAAAGAUCAAAGCCAGAUGGUUCUAACCGAGGCCAAGGAUGCCCCAGUGUUAUAGUGACAUAUCAAAGGAUAUCAUACGGGGAGUUGUCUAUGGUGACAAAUUCAUUCUCUACAGAAAAUUUGGUUGGCCAUGGAAGCUUUAGCGGUGUAUAUAAAGGGAUUUUGCCUUGUGAUGGACAUUCAAUCGAUGUGCCAGUCAAGGUACUCGAUCUUCGACAACAAGGAGCCAGCCAGAGCUUCAUUGCUGAGUGCAAUGCCCUUAAAAGAAUUAAACACCGGAAAUUAGUGAAAGUAAUAACCGUGUGUGAUAGUUUAGACCACAAUGGCGAUGAAUUUAAGGCACUCGUGUUGGAGUUUGUCUCCAAUGGAAGCCUAGAUAUAUGGUUACAUCCAAGCAGUGUCAGUAUGGACAAGAUAAGCUUGGAACAAAGGCUAAGCAUUGCUCUUGAUGUUGCAGAGGCACUAGAAUAUCUUCACCAUCGCAUUAAUCCUCCUAUUGCACAUUGUGAUAUUAAACCAGGUAACAUCCUUCUUGAUGAAGAUAUGACCGCACAUCUUGGUGACUUUGGUUUAGCCAACGUAAUGAAUGUUGGAGCCAUUGGGCAAUCAUUAGGAGAAAGUAGCUCAGUUGUUCUUAAAGGAACGAUUGGUUAUCUUGCACCAGAGUGUGGCAUGGGAACAACGAUUUCUACAGAGGCUGAUAUAUUCAGCUAUGGUGUGCUAUUGUUGGAGAUUCUUACUGGACGAAGGCCAACAGACAACUCAUUUCAUGAUGCUACAAGUCUUCCCAAGUGUGUGGAGAUGGCAUAUCCUGAGAAGCUAUUGGAAAUAAUGGAUCCUACGAUGUCGCACAAUGGAGAAGAAAAAGACAUCAUAGAUUUGUUCAUUGCUCCUAUUUCAAGGCUUGGUUUGGCUUGUUGUAGAGACUCUCCAAGGCAGCGGAUGAAGAUGGGUGAGGUGGUGAAAGAAUUGAAUGCCAUAAAGACAAGAUGGGAGCAUAAAUUCAAUCAUCUAUUGAUCCAUAAGGAUGAUGAUACACAUGGUGCACACCCACUCGGUUGAUGCAAAUGCAACUGCUUUGUCUCGGCGGACACCACACUCACACUCUCCACCCACGGGUAAUGUGCCCAUUGCCAUCCCUAACCGGUGCCGCGUCGCCGGUGACCGAAGGGUGUACCCUGUUGCUCAUGGCCUUUUGAGAGGGAAUAGAGAAGGGAGAUGGAGGAGGCACAGCACAGUAGGGAUCGGAGCACAUGUUUUGACGUGCAGUGAGAGCUGUGCCUGGCGUUGGAUUCAGAUGCGUGCUCGACGGUGUACUCGGUGUGGAAGAGGCCCGGCAUGGGCUUCCACGGCACCGACAGUUUCUGUGUCUACGACAGCGCCGGCAGGCUGGCAUUCCGCAUCCGACAACUACUCAGCGCCGGCGAGCUGCUGCUCAUGGAUGGCCAGGGCACGCAGCUCCUGUCCCUCAGGCCGCAGGUGAUCUAUCACUAGUACUUGUCUUCUUAGCAUCGUCAGUAGCAUGCAUGCAUUUCAUGAGUCAUGACCUGCAAAGAACCAGCGCUCUUAUUGCCUUGAUUAAGGACCAAAACAAUUGCAACAUUAUUUUUAUCUAUAUAAACCACAAUCAGUAACGCACAAGCAGUGAUUGUUGCGAGGUUAUCGUUUGUAAUGUUCCCUCUUUUUCCUUAUUAGUCAAUUUCUUCAAUCAUGGGAUGAAGGCGACAGUUGGUGUGGGCGAGGACCAGGCCCCAACAAGGUGUCGAAUGAUAUCAGCUCCUAGUUGGAGAAGGUGGCAAUGGCGACUGAACCAUCACCGGUUGGUUUGGGCCGCAGACUUUGCCAAGUUUUUUCUAAAUAAUUCGGAAUUUUUAAUCCGAUAAUGGGGGUGUUGGGUGCAAUUGGGUAAAAAACUUAUAAUCAAGAAUUGUCAGAGGAAAAAAAAAGCAAGAUUCUAGUGUAGGUAUUGGCUUGUAUGGAUCUCUCGCGUCUUUUAAGUGCCGGUCCUUCCCUUGUCCUCCUACCUCAUACCCUCACCAGUGAGCUCCUCCGAGGCUGACAGACCUGCCCCUUCGAUUUGAUCAACAGGUGCGUACAUGCUUGUUCUUGACUGCAGGCCUGCAGCUCAUGAAGCUUAAGCAUCAUAAUUGCAUACCCCAUCUCAAAUGAUUAGCCGUCUUAGUGACCUAACAGCCAUGGGUUGUUUCUACAAGCUCUAGCGUCGCCGUUGUCAGUCUCUAGUGUAGAGUUGUACUACUGCAUAUGUAGAUCUUGGAUUCAUCACGGUUCAUUCCUCCUCCUUUCUCCAUUAGUAAGCAGGGAUAUUCUAUAUCGUUGCCUGCCCCCACCGUACCCAUGAGUCGGCACCCCAAAGGUCGAAGAACUAAGACCCCUGUGCUCAAACAGCUUAACAUAAAUCCCAUCACCCGCUCAAUACCCCACCUGCAACUUCAAUUUUUUUUUAUCAUAGGAACAAACCCGGAAAACUUUUAUCGUUUCAUUAGAUUGGAAAAAGUCCAGAUUACAUCUCUGAACUAUAGCUAAAGUCUAGAUAACCUCCUAAACUAUCGUUCGGUUCAUCUUACCUUCCGAAUUAUACCCUUCAAUUCAAAUUGCCCCUAAUACAAUUUGUCUUUUCCAUUUCUCCAUGCAUAGGUAGAGUUUCAAAUUAAGAUUUUAUAAGAUGAUAAUACACAUCAUAAAACAUGUUAGAAAAAAAAUACAUCAUAAUUUUUUAGCAUUAUUUUGAUAGGUUAGAAUAUUUAAUAAUACAUAAUUUUGGAGUUCAAAAUUAUAUUAAGAAUAACGAUGAAAAAAUUAUUGAAUUUUUUUAAUAUGUAUUGUGAUGUCCACUACUACUCUACAAAAUUUAAAAUUAAAAUAUAUGGAUAAACAGAAAAGACAAAUUUUAUUACAUGAUAAAAUGAACUAAACAUAGUUUAGGGGGAAAGUUUUAGACUUUGGCUAUACUUGGAGAGUGUAAAUUGAACUUUUUUCUAUCACAUAUUUGAUAAAACUUUAACUCAGUCGGUGAAUUGAAGUCAACAUUUGACUGUAGUGACAGUCAUGCUCCGAGCUGCUUGCCUGUGCUGCCUGCUGGUCAGCCGGUGCUUCGCAGGCCCUUAGGAUGUGAUUGGUUGGUUGCAUGAGCCCAAACCAGACUCUCCGCAUGCCACCACGCCUUGAUUGGAUGGUUGCGCGGGGUCUCGAGCCUGGCUGGUCGGAUGCAAAAUGAGGCCGCGAGUCAGGCUCGCGGGAAACGCAGGAAUCGAGCGUUUCUGGUGAGCCAGGCUGGCGCGAGCGCCCAUGCUGCAUGAGAGCAGAGAGCAGCGGUGCAAGGUCUCCUCGUAUACUCAGGCAACCAAUCAAUUUCUCUGCUCGGCCAUGCUGCUCGCGCGCAGGCAAUCAAAUGCUGGGCCUUUGCAUGGCAGCAGCCUGGCCAGCUAGGGCCUGUCUCACCGAGUGCAUGCCGGCUACCGCAUACGCGAACCAAUCAGACCCUUAGUGAGCCGGGGCCGGGUCAGGUUCUCGGUUGGCCCACGGAAUUCUCCCAUCUGGUCAACUCCACACCUUCCACCCCUGUUUCUAUUCCUAUUCGUAUUCCCUCCCAGCGUCCAAAGCGCGCGCGACGUGCUCGACGGAAUGCGCCGGCGAGAUGGAUGGGCUACGGCAGCGCACCGCACGGUCUUGCGCGGCGGCAGCGCGCGCGUAGAUAGGCGCACCGUCCACGACAGCGGAGAUGGCUUACCUUCGUAGUUUUAUUAUCCGCAUUCUCAUCUGCUCUUCUUCGAUGCUGCAGGUUUGGUCGCACGGGUAGUUCGCUUCGGCGGCGGGGCGUCGUCUCGCUCUGCGCAAAGCCUCCAGGAGCACAAAUGGCGGAAGCAGUACUCCUUGCUGUUACAAAGAUUGGUUCUGCUUUGGCAGAAGAUGCCCAUACAGCCAUCAUAAAUAAGUUGUCUGAAAAAGUUAAUAAUCUGAAGGAACUGCCCGGGAAGAUCAAGCAGAUAGAGAUGCAACUUAAGAUCAUGAGCAAUCUGAUAUGGCAGAUUGGCACGGUCUACCUCACAGACAAAGUUGUCAAGAGUUGGAUUGGGGAGGUCCGUAAUGUGGCUUAUCAUGUUGAGGAUGUGAUGGACAGAUACUCAUAUUAUGCUCUUCAAAUGGAAGAAGAAGGGUUCCUGAAGAAGUUCUUCAUCAAGGGAACCCAUUAUGUCAGUGUUUUCAGUUCAAUUGCAGAUGAGGUUUGUGAGCUUGAGAAUGAGAUUCAGCAAGUUAUAAAGAUGAAAGAUCAAUGGUUGCAACACGCUCAAAUUGUUCCUAACCAAUUGGUGGAGAUGGAAAGGCAGCCGUCCCAAGGUUGGUUUCCAGAAUUUGUCAAAGAUGAAGACCUAGUGGGAAUCGAGGACAACAAGAGAUGGCUGAAGGGAUGGCUGUAUUCUGAAGAACCAAACAGCACCGUGAUAACAAUUUCUGGUAUGGGUGGGUUGGGAAAAUCUACUCUGGUCACAAAUGUUUAUGAACGUGAAAAGGUCAACUUCCCUGCACAUGCGUGGAUUGUUGUGUCACAGAUCUACUCCAUUGAUGCACUGUUGAGAAAUCUACUUAGGAAGAUUGGUACUGUGGGACUACCAACACCAGCAGGUAUUGACAAAAUGGAUGGGCAUGACUUGAAAGAAGAAAUAAAGAAACGACUCCAAAAUAGAAAAUGUUUGAUUGUAUUGGAUGAUGUCUGGGAGCAACAAGUAUACUUCCAAAUACAAGAUGCUUUUCAGAAUCUUCAAGCAAGUAGAAUUGUUAUUACAACACGGAAGGACCAUGUUGGGGCUCUUGCUUCUUCCACCCAUCCCCUGGAACUUCAACCAUUAGCCAGACAUGAUGCACUUGAACUCUUCUGCAGAAGGGCUUUUUACAAUAGGUGUCAUGGCCUGCCUCUAGCAAUUGUUACUAUAGGCAGCUUAUUGUCAUCAAGACCACAAAUAGAAACAUGGAAACAUACAUACAAUCAGCUUCAGAGUGAGUUGUCAAAAAGUGAUCAUGUCCGAGCAAUUUUAAAUUUAAGCUACCAUGACCUGUCAGGAGACCUUAGGAACUGCUUCUUAUACUGCAGCUUGUUUCCUGAAGAUUGCGCCAUGUCAAGGGAAAGCCUUGUGCGGAUGUGGGUUGCAGAAGGCUUUGUGAUGGGCAGAGGAAAGAACACGCCAGAGGAUGUGGCUGAGGGAAAUCUCAUAGAAUUGAUCCACCGUAACAUGCUUGAAGCUUUUGAGUAUGAUGAGCUCGGCAGGGUCAACACCUGUAAGAUGCAUGAUAUUAUGCGAGAAUUGGCACUUUCUGUUGCCAAAGAAGAAAAGUUUGGUUCUGCAAAUCAAUAUGGUGAAAUGAUACAGAUGGAUAAAGAUGUUCGUCGCUUGUUGUUAUGUGGAUGGAACGCCAACACUCCACUCAAAGUAAAAUUUCCACAUCUUCGAACACUUGUGGCUCAUGGAAUGAUUUCAUCCCCUACCAUGUUAUCCUCAAUUUUGACUGAAUCGAGCUACUUGACUGUUCUAGAGCUGCAAGAUUCUGAUAUCAAUGAGGUGCCAGCAUUUAUAAGGAAUCUCUUUAAUCUACGGUAUAUUGGGUUAAGGCGCACAAAUGUCAAGUCACUCCCAGAAUCAAUUGAGAAGCUUUCUAAUCUCCACACUCUGGACAUCAAGCAGACCCAGAUAGAGAAGCUACCUCGAGGCAUUGUUAAAGUCAAGAAGCUACGGCACCUUUUGGCUGACAGAUUUGCUGACGAGAAGCAGUCAGAGUUCAGAUAUUUCAUCGGAGUGGAAGCUCCUAAAGGGCUGUCAAGCAUGGAAGAACUACAGACUCUUGAGACUGUGCAAGCAAGCAAAGACCUGGCUGACCAGCUGAAGAAACUGAUGCAGCUCCGAAGCAUAUGGAUUGAUAAUGUAAGUGCUGCUGAUUGUGACAACCUUUUUGGAACCCUGUCGACGAUGCCACUUCUUUCCAACCUGCUUAUCUCAGCAAGAGAUGUGAAUGAGACACUUUGCCUCCAAGCCCUUGAUCCGAUUCCAAUCUCCACAAAGCUCCACAGGCUAAUUGUGAGGGGGAAAUGGGCUGCUGGGACACUAAAGUAUCCAAUAUUUCGCAAUCAUGGGGAGCAUCUCAAAUGUUUAGCACUCAGCUGGUGCCAGCUUGGAGAAGAUCCACUGGGGGUGCUUGCUCCACAUGUGCCAAACCUCACCUAUUUAAGUCUUAACCGGGUGAAUAGUGCAAGCACUUUAGUUCUUUCUGCAGGAUGCUUUCCUCAGCUGACGACGCUCGUCUUGAAGCGAAUGCCAGAUGUCAAUCAGCUGGAGAUCGGAGAUGGUGCUCUGCCAUGCAUUGAUGGUCUUUACAUCGUGUCACUAGUGCAGCUGGAUAAGGUUCCUCAAGGCAUCGAAUCUCUCGUCUCUCUAAAAAGGCUCUAGAUGCUGAACCUGCACAAGGAGUUUAUUACACAGUGGAAAGCAAGUGGGAUGCACCACAAGAUGGAACAUGUCCCCGAGAUUCGUGUCUAGGACAACCAGAUGGUUAUAUCUCCAUUGGUAUGCCUGUAUGAUGUGUUUGUUCAGAACUACGUUUGUUGUGUUUUUAUUCUCUUUCAAUCUGAGAAGUCGUGGACUAUUGCUACUGUUAUGUUAAUACCUGGAUUGUACUUGAAGGCUAUAACACAGGUAGUCGCGAAACGUUAUUGGUUUUACAGGCUUCACUAGGCCCAUGGAUGUGCCGUGUUGGUUCAAUUGCUUUAAGAAUAAUGAUUUCCUU